RNAcentral lists this ribosomal RNA (496 nucleotides) under uncultured bacterium. Its description in RNAcentral is "partial 16S ribosomal RNA". It matches the Rfam family "Bacterial small subunit ribosomal RNA", at positions 28 to 506 of the family's 1533-position model. The record is from RNAcentral.
GAUGAACGCUGGCGGCGUGCCUAAUACAUGCCAGUCGAGCGAACAGACGAGGAGCUUGCUCCUCUGACGUUAGCGGCGGACGGGUGAGUAACACGUGGAUAACCUACCUAUAAGACUGGGAUAACUUCGGGAAACCGGAGCUAAUACCGGAUAAUAUAUUGAACCGCAUGGUUCAAUAGUGAAAGACGGUUUUGCUGUCACUUAUAGAUGGAUCCGCGCCGCAUUAGCUAGUUGGUAAGGUAACGGCUUACCAAGGCGACGAUGCGUAGCCGACCUGAGAGGGGGAUCGGCCACACUGGAACUGAGACCCGGUCCAGACUCCUACGGGAGGCAGCAGUAGGGAAUCUUCCGCAAUGGGCGAAAGCCUGACGGAGCAACGCCGCGUGAGUGAUGAAGGUCUUCGGAUCGUAAAACUCUGUUAUUAGGGAAGAACAAAUGUGUAAGUAACUAUGCACGUCUUGACGGUACCUAAUCAGAAAGCCACGGCUAACUACGU